Molecule: ribosomal RNA, 716 nt
Filed under: uncultured bacterium
Lineage: Bacteria
Description: bacterial SSU rRNA
Rfam family: Bacterial small subunit ribosomal RNA
Source: RNAcentral
CAGUCGAACGAAGCACAGAAAGCAGAUUACUUCGGUUUGAAGCUUUCUGCGAUUGAGUGGCGGACGGGUGAGUAACGCGUGGAUAACCUGCCUCACACAGGGGGAUAACAGUUAGAAAUGACUGCUAAUACCGCAUAAGCGCACAGUCUCGCAUGGGACAGUGUGAAAAACUGAGGUGGUGUGAGAUGGAUCCGCGUCUGAUUAGGCAGUUGGCGGGGUAACGGCCCACCAAACCAACGAUCAGUAGCCGGCCUGAGAGGGUGAACGGCCACAUUGGGACUGAGACACGGCCCAAACUCCUACGGGAGGCAGCAGUGGGGAAUAUUGCACAAUGGGGGAAACCCUGAUGCAGCGACGCCGCGUGAAGGAAGAAGUAUUUCGGUAUGUAAACUUCUAUCAGCAGGGAAGAAAAUGACGGUACCUGACUAAGAAGCCCCGGCUAACUACGUGCCAGCAGCCGCGGUAAUACGUAGGGGGCAAGCGUUAUCCGGAUUUACUGGGUUUAAAGGGUGCGUAGGCGGACUGUCAAGUCAGCGGUAAAAUACGGGGGCUCAACCUCCGCCCGCCGUUGAAACUGACGGUCUUGAGUGGGCGAGAAGUAUGCGGAAUGCGUGGUGUAGCGGUGAAAUGCAUAGAUAUCACGCAGAACUCCGAUUGCGAAGGCAGCAUACCGGCGCCCAACUGACGCUGAAGCACGAAAGCGUGGGUAUCGAACA